Molecule: ribosomal RNA, 1530 nt
Filed under: Escherichia coli DEC13C
Lineage: Bacteria; Pseudomonadati; Pseudomonadota; Gammaproteobacteria; Enterobacterales; Enterobacteriaceae
Description: bacterial SSU rRNA
Rfam family: Bacterial small subunit ribosomal RNA
Source: RNAcentral
AGAGUUUGAUCAUGGCUCAGAUUGAACGCUGGCGGCAGGCCUAACACAUGCAAGUCGAACGGUAACAGGAAGAAGCUUGCUUCUUUGCUGACGAGUGGCGGACGGGUGAGUAAUGUCUGGGAAACUGCCUGAUGGAGGGGGAUAACUACUGGAAACGGUAGCUAAUACCGCAUAACGUCGCAAGACCAAAGAGGGGGACCUUCGGGCCUCUUGCCAUCGGAUGUGCCCAGAUGGGAUUAGCUAGUAGGUGGGGUAACGGCUCACCUAGGCGACGAUCCCUAGCUGGUCUGAGAGGAUGACCAGCCACACUGGAACUGAGACACGGUCCAGACUCCUACGGGAGGCAGCAGUGGGGAAUAUUGCACAAUGGGCGCAAGCCUGAUGCAGCCAUGCCGCGUGUAUGAAGAAGGCCUUCGGGUUGUAAAGUACUUUCAGCGGGGAGGAAGGGAGUAAAGUUAAUACCUUUGCUCAUUGACGUUACCCGCAGAAGAAGCACCGGCUAACUCCGUGCCAGCAGCCGCGGUAAUACGGAGGGUGCAAGCGUUAAUCGGAAUUACUGGGCGUAAAGCGCACGCAGGCGGUUUGUUAAGUCAGAUGUGAAAUCCCCGGGCUCAACCUGGGAACUGCAUCUGAUACUGGCAAGCUUGAGUCUCGUAGAGGGGGGUAGAAUUCCAGGUGUAGCGGUGAAAUGCGUAGAGAUCUGGAGGAAUACCGGUGGCGAAGGCGGCCCCCUGGACGAAGACUGACGCUCAGGUGCGGAAGCGUGGGGAGCAAACAGGAUUAGAUACCCUGGUAGUCCACGCCGUAAACGAUGUCGACUUGGAGGUUGUGCCCUUGAGGCGUGGCUUCCGGAGCUAACGCGUUAAGUCGACCGCCUGGGGAGUACGGCCGCAAGGUUAAAACUCAAAUGAAUUGACGGGGGCCCGCACAAGCGGUGGAGCAUGUGGUUUAAUUCGAUGCAACGCGAAGAACCUUACCUGGUCUUGACAUCCACGGAAGUUUUCAGAGAUGAGAAUGUGCCUUCGGGAACCGUGAGACAGGUGCUGCAUGGCUGUCGUCAGCUCGUGUUGUGAAAUGUUGGGUUAAGUCCCGCAACGAGCGCAACCCUUAUCCUUUGUUGCCAGCGGUCCGGCCGGGAACUCAAAGGAGACUGCCAGUGAUAAACUGGAGGAAGGUGGGGAUGACGUCAAGUCAUCAUGGCCCUUACGACCAGGGCUACACACGUGCUACAAUGGCGCAUACAAAGAGAAGCGACCUCGCGAGAGCAAGCGGACCUCAUAAAGUGCGUCGUAGUCCGGAUUGGAGUCUGCAACUCGACUCCAUGAAGUCGGAAUCGCUAGUAAUCGUGGAUCAGAAUGCCACGGUGAAUACGUUCCCGGGCCUUGUACACACCGCCCGUCACACCAUGGGAGUGGGUUGCAAAAGAAGUAGGUAGCUUAACCUUCGGGAGAGCGCUUACCACUUUGUGAUUCAUGACUGGGGUGAAGUCGUAACAAGGUAACCGUAGGGGAACCUGCGGUUGGAUCACCU